GCGGCGGACGGGUGAGUAACGCGUGGGUAAUCUACCUCGUAGUUCGGGAUAACAGGCCGAAAGGCUUGCUAAUACCGGAUGAGUUCAUGCUUAUGCAUAUAGACAUGAAGAAAGGGCUAGCCCGCUAUGAGAUGAGCCCGCGUCCCAUUAGCUUGUUGGUGGGGUAACGGCCUACCAAGGCAACGAUGGGUAGCCGGCCUGAGAGGGUGUACGGCCACACUGGGACUGAGACACGGCCCAGACUCCUACGGGGGGCAGCAGUAGGGAAUUUUCGGCAAUGGGCGAAAGCCUGACCGAGCGACGCCGCGUGAGGGACGAAGGCCUUCGGGUUGUAAACCUCUGUCUGGGGGGAUGAGAACGGACGGUACCCCCGGAGGAAGCCCCGGCUAACUACGUGCCAGCAGCCGCGGUAAUACGUAGGGGGCUAGCGUUGUCCGGAAUUACUGGGCGUAAAGGGCGUGUAGGCGGUCGUGCAAGUCGGUUGUGAAAGUCUAGG
RNAcentral lists this ribosomal RNA (496 nucleotides) under uncultured bacterium. Its description in RNAcentral is "bacterial SSU rRNA". It matches the Rfam family "Bacterial small subunit ribosomal RNA", at positions 95 to 606 of the family's 1533-position model. The record is from RNAcentral.